GGUGUCAGGAAGCAGUGGACAAUGAAGAAUGCAGUGCAACAACAGUAAGUGCAUGUCUCAUUGUCCAUUGCUUCCUGAUGUC
RNAcentral lists this microRNA precursor (82 nucleotides) under Alligator mississippiensis (American alligator). Its description in RNAcentral is "microRNA ami-mir-9601 precursor". The record is from miRBase by way of RNAcentral. Lineage: Eukaryota; Metazoa; Chordata; Crocodylia; Alligatoridae.